This 84-nucleotide transfer RNA is filed under the name Trametes cingulata. Its description in RNAcentral is "tRNA-Ala". It matches the Rfam family "tRNA". From Rfam's summary of the family: Transfer RNA (tRNA) molecules are approximately 80 nucleotides in length. Their secondary structure includes four short double-helical elements and three loops (D, anti-codon, and T loops). The record is from RNAcentral. Lineage: Eukaryota; Fungi; Basidiomycota; Agaricomycetes; Polyporales; Polyporaceae.
GGGCAUGUGGUGUAGUUGGUUAUCACGCUCGCUUAGCAUCUCUGAGCUUGCGAGAGGGGUCCGGUUCAAUCCCGGACAUGUCCA